GAGUUUGAUCUUGGCUCAGAUUGAACGCUGGCGGCAUGCCUUACACAUGCAAGUCGAACGGCAGCAUGAUCUAGCUUGCUAGAUUGAUGGCGAGUGGCGAACGGGUGAGUAAUACAUCGGAACGUGCCCUGUAGUGGGGAUAACUAGUCGAAAGAUUAGCUAAUACCGCAUACGACCUGAGGGUGAAAGUGGGGGACCGCAAGGCCUCAUGCUAUAGGAGCGGCCGAUGUCUGAUUAGCUAGUUGGUGGGGUAAAGGCCCGCCAAGGCGACGAUCAGUAGCUGGUCUGAGAGGACGAUCAGCCACACUGGGACUGAGACACGGCCCAGACUCCUACGGGAGGCAGCAGUGGGGAAUUUUGGACAAUGGGCGAAAGCCUGAUCCAGCGAUGCCGCGUGUGUGAAGAAGGCCU
RNAcentral lists this ribosomal RNA (411 nucleotides) under uncultured microorganism. RNAcentral describes it as "bacterial SSU rRNA". It matches the Rfam family "Bacterial small subunit ribosomal RNA", at positions 9 to 417 of the family's 1533-position model. The record is from RNAcentral.